AUGAAGGCACUGGGGUGCAGUGUUUUCCCCUCCUACAAACGGCCUCAUUUCUCUGCCAUUCAAAGGGAAGUAAGUGCUGACGUUCCGAGGACAAAGACAACUUCUGCAGUCUACCUGAUGGAGUCCAACAGCUGCAUCAAUGUUGAAUUUUUGGAUACAGCUGAGGAUUCCUUCUACUUUGGAGUGGUUCAACAAGAUUUGAAGGAGGAUGAUUUCACACAGCCAAAAGACCAUCAUUGGUCCAUUGAGAGCACGAAUGGUUUUGGAUACCUCAUUUUAAACCAAGAAGACACAUUCGUGCUCCAGACCUGCUGUGAGAAGAAACUCUGCAUCAGGACCUAUCGGAGCUCUUUUGUAAACGAAAAGUUGCCAGUCAUGAUAUAUACCCAAAAGAAUGACCAGACAAUGGUGGCAUGUUGUAAGGAGCACAAAAUUCAAGCUGUACCAAUGGUAAGUACAAAAAGUCAUUCAGAGUUGGUUUUAGUGCACUCACAGUUAUUCUGA
This 504-nucleotide long non-coding RNA is filed under the name Oreochromis niloticus (Nile tilapia). RNAcentral describes it as "lncRNA (ENSONIG00000033588.1)". Lineage: Eukaryota; Metazoa; Chordata; Actinopteri; Cichliformes; Cichlidae. The record is from RNAcentral.